UCCUUAGAUGGAAGGGAUGUCACCUGUGGCAAGUCCUGAUAGCAGCCCAGGAGAAUGUUGAUCAAGGCCUCGCUAAGCAGAACCUACACUCAAUGGCUGACCUGCUAACAGUGGAAAGCAUUUCUCCCAUUUAAAUAGAGAUGAACCUGGCGAAAAGUUGUUCAGUGGUUAAGAUGCUGGCAGAUACCUGGAAGAUCUUCAGCCACCCAAGAUGAACAACAAGAGAGUAAGAGCAAAUCAUUCCCAAGGCUUCUAUAUGUGAAAGAAAAGAGAAGAUUCCCCAAUUUUGAAUUGCUCAUGGUAUGGUGCAGAGUUGGAGAUACCCAACUUAAGGACUCAUCAUUGAGACUGGCGGUCUGGCGAGCCAUGGCAGUGCGCCGACUUUGAGUGCAAGUGUUUGGCACAUCAAGCCGAAUCACCAGCAAGCCGCACACCAACAUUCAAAUGUUUUUUUCCACGCCCAUAGGCAUGACCUGUUGUGAAGGGGUUAUGUGCAUGCAUGGUUUUUGCAGAAAGUUUUUUUUUUAUUCUUUUUAUUUUUUUAUAUUUUUUUUUAAUUUGAUAUUUGUACUAGUAUCAUAUUAUGUAGUGAUUGUUAUUAGGGUAUUGCUAUUUUGGUAUUGGUAAUGCAACAAAAUGAAAAAGUGUGAUUAAUACAAAAUUUUUAAAAAUUACCCAUUUAAAUGGGAGAAAUGCUUUCCACUGUUAGCAGGUCAGCCAUUGAGUGUUCUGCUUAGCGAGGCCUUUAUCAAUAUUCUCCUGGGCUGCUAUCAGGACUUGCCACAGGUGACAUCCCUUCCAUCUAAGGAUCAAG
Molecule: long non-coding RNA, 814 nt
Organism: Penaeus indicus
Lineage: Eukaryota; Metazoa; Arthropoda; Malacostraca; Decapoda; Penaeidae
Exons: 3
Source: RefSeq, a predicted model, not a curated record